This 137-nucleotide small nucleolar RNA is filed under the name Esox lucius (northern pike). RNAcentral's name for it is "Small nucleolar RNA SNORA9". It matches the Rfam family "Small nucleolar RNA SNORA9". From Rfam's summary of the family: ACA9 is a member of the H/ACA class of snoRNA that guide the sites of modification of uridines to pseudouridines. Lineage: Eukaryota; Metazoa; Chordata; Actinopteri; Esociformes; Esocidae. The record is from Rfam by way of RNAcentral.
UUGCAGGUCAUUGUCAGCGAGGCUUAGCCUACAGUGGCUCUGUCCUUUCCUAAAGUGUCUGCUAGAAUGAACUGAGAUGGUUUGAGGCCUUGCUGUGUUUCUUCCAUGGCAAGGUUAUAGGUAAACCUCAGACAAAU